This is a long non-coding RNA of Acyrthosiphon pisum (pea aphid), 972 nucleotides long. RefSeq lists it as uncharacterized. The transcript is spliced from 6 exons. Lineage: Eukaryota; Metazoa; Arthropoda; Insecta; Hemiptera; Aphididae. The record is from RefSeq and is a predicted model, not a curated record.
AUAGUAAAAUGAAUAAUCUUUGAAAGUUGAAGUUUUCAAUUAUACUUAUAAUAAAUAAAUUUUAAUUCGCCCCAAUUCGGUGGACAGGGAUGUAGCCACUGCGAAGAAAACAGUCAGUCGUCAGAGCACAACGCCAUGACGACGGCGCACCGGUUCCUGAAUUUAAAAUAGACUAUUUAGCCAUGCCUAAUACGUUAUACAAUAUAAAUACAACGAGCGGUAAUAACCAAUCAAUAGUGGAAUGUUGUUAUAUAAAUGCGUGCAUCAACAUGAACGGCUCAGUAAAUGAAUUUGAUGAAUAUAAGAUGAAAUAUUACAGCUUUAACAAGUAAUAAUUCAUCUCAAAACAAUAAAACUGUCUUCCUAGAGGAUUUCCAGAAUUUCAUUACCAUUAACAGUCGAUGAAUUUGCUUCUAGAAUGGAAUUUAGAAUCAGCAAUCACCAAUCAGUAUACACAUCUUACAUGGAUAUAUUUCUAUACCAAUUUACACUGAACAAGGAACCUCUAAUAUUGAACAAUAAACCGUUAUUCCAAACAUUGUGGUCAAACGAUGUCAUAUCAAAAAACACAGUAUUUCAAUAAUCCUAAUGAGGUUACUUUACAAAGAAUGUUAUAACCAAAAGUUGUCAAAAUAUGUUGGUGGAAUAUUGUUUGUGAUAUAAUCAAAAAUGGCUUUGCGAUAACAGUGUUAUAGUAUUCUAUAGCCAGUGCAAUUUGUUAGAACUUUUCAUUCUAAAAUCAAGGAUUUACAUUUUGGUAAUGAUGCCUUGAAUUCCCCAAAAGGAAAAUUGUCUUCAAAAUAUUUUAACAUCAUUUGAACAAUGACACAAUGUGAAUAGAAAUUAUGGAUUUAUUUGAUAGAUAUUGACUUAAACAGAAUAUACUAUAAAAAUUGAAGAAGUGUCUCUAAAACGCAUUAAAAUAUUGGAUGAACGGAUAAAUAAUAAUGCUAACACACCAGAUUUAACCAA